Aegilops tauschii subsp. strangulata is the source of this 1682-nucleotide non-coding RNA. NCBI's taxonomy places the organism in Eukaryota, Viridiplantae, Streptophyta, Magnoliopsida, Poales, Poaceae. The record is from RefSeq and is a predicted model, not a curated record.
AGUAACAUUUCUCUGUUAUUUUCGGAACAACUUGGAAUAUCUUAUUGGUAGUUUAUAUACAAAGUCAUUUUGAUAAUUAUCAUGCUGCAAACCUACAUAGUUUUCUAUAUUAAUCAUGUCAUGCUAAAAUAUAGAAGUUAUAGCUUCAAUAAAUUGAUAAAAUACAGAUUUGGGCUUUACAUAUUUAUUGAAUAUAUAUUUACAUAUGAAUACGUCGUUACGGUCGGACUCCAGCGAGCAGCAGUGGUUGUUAUACCCCACCAGGUAACUUGCUACUGUUGGUGAAACUCUCUUGUGCAGAAACGCCGAUCUUGAAAUCUUGAUCCUACUUAUAGGCCGUAUUGCAUGCAAUGUACUCAUGUUUUACUGAACAUGUAGGUAACAUGAAAUUUUGAUCUUCUCCCAUCACUGAAAGUUGUGUUUUAAACUUGCAAAAGCAUUGCUAAGCCUAUUCAAUCAUUUCUAUUUUACCCUAGAUUUCACCCCAUACCACAAUUGAGAUACAAAUGGGCGUUACUGAUGUCGAGGAGAAGAGUUAGAAGCUCUUGGAUUGAGAAUCUGAGAUUUAUAUAGGUUCAGUAGACCAAAAAGUUUCGGAUUCACUACUCCAGAUACAACGAUGCGGUAUAUAUAGUUAACUUCGUACUUUAUAUUACCAAUUUUUCUUCCUCCAAGAGUUCUCCGGAUAUAAUUUACACCUGAAACAAUAAAUUGUUAAAAGCAAGGAAAAGUAACAAGUUCUGCAAAUUAGUUUCAUCAGGAGAGAACUGGCUGAAAUGAAGCUAAUACCCAUGUACUGAAUAUCCUGCAGUGGUUAGUAUACUAAAGAGUAAAACUGCAUGUUUUUGUCAUAUCUGAAACCCUUUUCUGCUCCAUACUUUACGUAAACAAUGCCUGUGCAUUGGCAUAAGAACCAUAGAUUGAAAAAUCAUCAUCCAUUGUCAUUCGUCACCCUGGCAAUGAUGCAUUUGCUAUUCAGAAGACUUCUUGUCCGGUUUAGUGUGUGAUUUGUUACUAUGAUAAGGAAACAUUUCCUCAACCCAUCUUUCACUACACACACAGGUUGCACAGAGGAGUAUAAGGAUUUCUUCAUCGGGCCAGUCCACGUGGAAGAUGUCGCGUUAGCCCGUAUCACGCUGUUUGAAAACCCGGCUGCAUCCGGGAGGCACCUCUGUGUGGAGCCCAUAUGUCACUUGAGCGAUUUCGCGUCCCAAGUCGCGGAGCUCUACCCCGACCACACGAAGUCCCGAAAUUACCUGAGGACACGCAGCCUGGGCUGGUGAGAGCGGAGGCGGUGCCGAAGAAGCUGAUGGCACUGGGCCUGCAUUUCACUCCUUUGGAAAAGAUCAUCAAGGAUGCGGUGGAGAGCCUUCGGAGAAGAGGAUGCAUCGCCUGAUGGCUGGAUUAUUAGCUGUAUACCAUAUUCCUUCCCUUCUGUUGUAGGGUCAUGAUCAACCCUUGCUCCAGAGAUGUGUUGUGCCCAGCCCAGUGCUAGACCUUAUAGUUGCCUGUAUGAUUGUGCAAUAACGGCUGGUUGAUCUACUGGUACACCUGUCUGUUCUUGCUAGAUUCUUCCAAGAAGUCCUUGGGUGUUGCAAGGAAGAUCACCGAUGAAUAAUUGUCCAGGAUAAGAGAAGAAAACAGUACUCUCGAAAUAGAACCAAUAAUCUAUUCACAAAAUA